GAUGAACGCUGGCGGCGUGCCUAACACAUGCAAGUCGAGCGAACAGAUGAGGAGCUUGCUCCUCUGACGUUAGCGGCGGACGGGUGAGUAACACGUGGAUAACCUACCUAUAAGACUGGGAUAACUUCGGGAAACCGGAGCUAAUACUGGAUAAUAUAUUGAACCGCAUGGUUCAAUAGUGAAAGACGGCUUUGCUGUCACUUAUAGAUGGAUCCGCGCCGCAUUAGCUAGUUGGUAAGGUAACGGCUUACCAAGGCAACGAUGCGUAGCCGACCUGAGAGGAUGAUCAGCCACACUGGAACUGAGACACGGUCCAGACUCCUACGGGAGGCAGCAGUAGGGAAUCUUCCGCAAUGGGCGAAAGCCUGACGGAGCAACGCCGCGUGAGUGAUGAAGGUCUUCGGAUCGUAAAGCUCUGUUAUUAGGGAAGAACAAAUGUGUAAGUAACUAUGCACGUCUUGACGGUACCUAAUCAGAAAGCCACGGCUAACUACGUG
This 497-nucleotide ribosomal RNA is filed under the name uncultured bacterium. RNAcentral describes it as "partial 16S ribosomal RNA". It matches the Rfam family "Bacterial small subunit ribosomal RNA", at positions 28 to 507 of the family's 1533-position model. The record is from RNAcentral.